This is an RNA transcript of Cyprinodon variegatus (sheepshead minnow), 2236 nucleotides long. It is a transcript of the gene named SH2 domain containing 5, with no coding region annotated. The transcript has 10 exons. Lineage: Eukaryota; Metazoa; Chordata; Actinopteri; Cyprinodontiformes; Cyprinodontidae. The record is from RefSeq and is a predicted model, not a curated record.
CAUAAUUGAUCAUAUUUAACCAGAGGCUGUUUCUACAGAGCAGGGCUUUUUAUUGUAAUUUAUUCACUGCGGUGUUGAGCAAUAAGGAGGAAUGUGUGCAGAGCUGGGAAAGAAUGCCUGGGAAGAAACAGCUGGGCGGGGGGUUAACCCAGCGUCCUGUUCCGCUGUCUUCCAGAUCUCUGGGAGAAGAAGGGUUCAUAUUGGCCUCCCUGCGCAGAGACAGAGCCCCGCCUCAGUCUGACUGCUGCACACCUGGACAGGUAAAGGUGGAGCGGACACAGGAGAACACAGCUCCUGACUUGGAACAACGAGGCUGGUUGUUUGUUAAAACGGGCAGUAUGGGAGAGGCACCGACCAGAGAGGAGGGCACAGUCACUCGCUCUGCAGAGUAUGUUGGCUCAUUUGUUGUGGAUGACUGCUGUUUGGACGAUCAGAUAAAUCAGCUGCACACACAGCUCAAGCACUUAAAGACAUGCAAGCGAAGGAGGCCAGUAACCCUGAAGUUCUCCCUCAAAGGGGUAAAAAUGUAUGAUGAGGAUGAAGUGACCCUCCUUAUGGCUCAUGCUUUGAGAAGAGUCUCUCUGUCCACCGCCCGCCCAGUUGACUCCCAGUUUGCCUUCGUCUCCCAUAACCCAGGAAGCACCGAUGCUCAACUUUACUGCCAUGUUUUUAAAGCAAGGCAUGCCAGAGCGGCCCAGUUCCUGAACCUGCUGCUCUGCCGAUGUUUCCAGCUGUCUUAUCUGGAAAAGCAUCCAGAAGAGGCACAGGAACAUUGCACCGGGUCAUUGCCUCGGCGUAACCCCUCGCUGCUAAACCACGGCUUCCCUCUUAGUGUCAGUGCCCUGGUUUCCUUCAGAAGAGCUCCUUUUCGAGGGUUGCUGUUAAGCACAAAGAAAUCUAAGAAGUCCUCCAAUGAUCAUCUCGAGAGCCAAGAUGAUGUUUUUUCCUCCUCCAUUCCCUCACUGAUGCGCAGGAAAGUCAUCCGCAACAAAGGUCUACGGUCUGGUGCUUACCGCUCCUUCACUUUCACACCGCACAAACAGCGCAACAUUCAGGAGCAGCUGAGUGCAUCACAAGGUGGGCCAAGAGUUCACAGAGCGCUAUCAAGAGUCAAAGAAAUGAUUAGGAGAGAGUCAAGACAAGGUGCCGGCGAAGAGAUCCCGAACUCCAAGCUUAGCCGAAACAGAAGAGGCGUUGGCUCAGGCAGUGUGGUGUUGGGCUGGUCUCGCCACUGACAGCUGCUACUCCCUCCUAGCAGAUGACGUUCUAGGAUCAUACCUUCUGUGCCCACAUCCUAGAAAACCUAAAUGUGGUUCUCUUAUCAUUCGCUUCCGCUCUGGUCUGAUCACCCACCUUAUAGAAAACACUCGGAAAGGGAAGUUCUUGUUGGAGAAAUGCAAGACAGAAUUCAACUCCAUUGCUGAGCUCAUUGAAUACUACUCUGUGACCCCAGAUGAGCUGCCUUGUCCACUGAGCUGUGCAAGAGUGAACCACUGCUAUGAGUGGGAGGAAAAUGCUAACACACAAAAGGCUAUAAAGCAAAUCAAAAACUCCACCAAAGCCAGAUUUAAAAGUACCCACUGAAGGGAGCAUGUCUAAACUACGAGACCUGAGUUGCCAACAUCUGAGGAUACUGAUUAAGAGACACUCUUUUCACUCUUUUGCACAUUUUUUUUAUUUUUUUUUUACAUUUAAAUCACGUUUCUCACUGGAAAAACCGUGCACCUAUAAUCAGUGUUGGCAAUUUUCAUAUGCUCUUAUGCACCAAAUUAAUCAGGGUACCUAUUAUUCAAAGAAGUAAUAUUAAUUGCUUAAAGCUUUUAUGUAAAGUCAGUUUUUUCAGUAUUUUUUUACAUGCCUGUAAGGCAUUCCAAGUUUAAAUGUUCUUAGAUAUCAAAGUUUUAAGCAUGGACUUUAUAGCAGGGUCUUAACUUUUCCUUUUUUUUUAAAGUUUCCUUGAUCCUCCAAGGAUUUACCUCAGUGAAUAACCAUGUUUUACUCUGAUCGUUUUUGUCUUGUCUUCAUAUUGCUGUGUCUGCUAUUAUAUGCUAUGUUGCUUGUUAUUUUCAUUCUAUUUGCUAAUGUGUACAGUUAAAUGUAACUAAUUUUAAUCCAAACCAACAUUCGACUGAAUGUUUACGGGGAUAAAGUUUCAUCACUUCUAAUGAGCUGUUUCCAUGAACCGUCCACAUACAGUUUGUUUUUUUUAUGCCCAUUUUACAAUAAAUCUAUUAUC